AUUGAACGCUGGCGGCAUGCCUUACACAUGCAAGUCGAACGGCAUCGCGGGAAAGCUUGCUUUCCUGGCGGCGAGUGGCGAACGGGUGAGUAACACAUCGGAACGUACCGGCUAGGGGGGGAUAACCCGUCGAAAGACGGGCUAAUACCGCAUACGCUCUUCGGAGGAAAGCAGGGGACCUUUGGGCCUUGCGCUAGCCGAGCGGCCGAUGUCCGAUUAGCUAGUUGGUGGGGUAAAGGCCUACCAAGGCGACGAUCGGUAGCGGGUCUGAGAGGACGAUCCGCCACACUGGGACUGAGACACGGCCCAGACUCCUGCGGGAGGCAGCAGUGGGGAAUCUUGGACAAUGGGGGCAACCCUGAUCCAGCAAUGCCGCGUGGGUGAAGAAGGCCUUCGGGUUGUAAAGCCCUUUCGGCAGGGAAGAAAUCGGCGGGGCGAAUAACCCUGCUGGAUGACGGUACCUGCAGAAGAAGCACCGGCUAACUACGUG
RNAcentral lists this ribosomal RNA (490 nucleotides) under uncultured bacterium. RNAcentral's name for it is "partial 16S ribosomal RNA". It matches the Rfam family "Bacterial small subunit ribosomal RNA", at positions 29 to 507 of the family's 1533-position model. The record is from RNAcentral.